Molecule: ribosomal RNA, 253 nt
Filed under: uncultured bacterium
Lineage: Bacteria
Description: partial 16S ribosomal RNA
Rfam family: Bacterial small subunit ribosomal RNA
Source: RNAcentral
UACGUAUGUCUCAAGCGUUACCCGGAAUUACUGGGUGUAAAGGGUUCGUAGGUGGAUUUUUAAGUCAGGUAUGAAAGACCGGAGCUCAACUCCGUGUUUGUGCUUGAAACUGGAAAUCUAGAAUUAGGGAGAGGUAAGCGGAAUUCUAAGUGUAGGGGUGCAAUCCGUAGAUACUUAGAGGAACACCAAAAGCGAAGGCAGCUUACUGGAACUAUAUUGACGCUGAUGAACGAAAGCGUGGGGAGCGAAAAGG